This 322-nucleotide ribosomal RNA is filed under the name uncultured Bacillota bacterium. RNAcentral describes it as "bacterial SSU rRNA". It matches the Rfam family "Bacterial small subunit ribosomal RNA", at positions 28 to 351 of the family's 1533-position model. The record is from RNAcentral. Lineage: Bacteria; Bacillati; Bacillota.
GACGAACGCUGGCGGCGUGCCUAACACAUGCAAGUCGAGCGAUGAAGUUCUUCGGAACGGAUUAGCGGCGGACGGGUGAGUAACACGUGGGUAACCUGCCUUGUAGAGGGGGAUAGCCUUCCGAAAGGAAGAUUAAUACCGCAUAAUAUGUUUUUGUCGCAUGGCAGAAACAUCAAAGGAGUAAUCCGCUACAAGAUGGACCCGCGGCGCAUUAGCUAGUUGGUGAGGUAACGGCUCACCAAGGCGACGAUGCGUAGCCGACCUGAGAGGGUGAUCGGCCACAUUGGAACUGAGACACGGUCCAGACUCCUACGGGAGGCAG